AAACGCUUGUGGAAGGAGCGAACAAAUGACAAGUCACUAAACCUAAAUACAGAGUCUUCAGCUUUGGAGGAGACUGAGGUGCGGACAUGGAAAAGAAGGUCAUUCUCUUGGAGCCACAGCAAUGACCAGGAGAAAUUCAUUUGGCGGUAAAACCACACGAACCCUAUUACAUCACCAAGCCCUCACCGUUUCCAGCACCCAGGGUCUCUACAAAGAGGCAAGCUGGGACUGAAAUCUCUCCCGAGUGUGGAAGACGGACGGGAGCAGCAGCCGGACAGCACAGCUCAAGGCCGAGAGGCUCACUGGGUGACUCGGGCCGCUUUGGGGUGACUGUGAGAAGCGAAGGGAGGCUGACUCGGGGUGUGGUGGGGAGUGAAGCCACCACCUUAUUGCCUAGGCCUUCCCUUGAUGCACUUGGAAAAUAAGUUGCUCUUUCUUCACCGGGUGGGGACAUUAAUUAAUGUUUGCAAAAGUCUUUAUGAUCCUUGUCAAAAGGUGUUCGGCCGGCUCUAAUUAUCCAGGUUUCAGCUGCCACCGCUUCCAUCUCAGCACAGCAUCUCUGCCCUGGAAGAUGUCAAACAAGAUUGCUGUUGUCAGGAUGUGCAUCCGGCUCGUGUGGAUUUCUAUCUGCAUCUCCAAAUACUGCCCAGAUUCCAAAGCCCUGCAAGGGGAUGGUAUCUUGUUUGGGGAGAUGAGACCUGUGCCCCGCCCAGCUCCACCCCAUGAGAUGAGAUAAUGGAUGUGAACGCCAAGUGUUUCAGCGACGUAAGCGGCAUUAUCGUUACUGAAAUGUCCCAGCCAGAUCAUCCCCAGGAGGGAUUAAUGGCCCACCAGGACAGGUGGGCACCUGGGGUGGUCGGAAGAGCCAGGAGAACCACAGCAGGGAAAAAGACUUCAGGAAAGGAAAGGAGAGAGACCCCACCGCUGGCACAACCACAGAAGUUUUGGGGAUGAGGAGGGGCUCUAGAUAUUUCCCCACUUCCCCAGACAGC
This 992-nucleotide long non-coding RNA is filed under the name Pan troglodytes (chimpanzee). Its description in RNAcentral is "long non-coding RNA NONPTRT009949". The record is from RNAcentral. Lineage: Eukaryota; Metazoa; Chordata; Mammalia; Primates; Hominidae.